RNAcentral lists this small nuclear RNA (64 nucleotides) under Microcebus murinus (gray mouse lemur). Its description in RNAcentral is "U7 small nuclear RNA (ENSMICG00000042825.1)". It matches the Rfam family "U7 small nuclear RNA". From Rfam's summary of the family: Animal histone pre-mRNAs are spliced by a different mechanism than nuclear pre-mRNAs and self-splicing introns. This processing involves the U7 snRNP, which contains only one RNA species: U7. The 5' end of U7 RNA is thought to base-pair to a conserved spacer element downstream of the cleavage site in histone pre-mRNA. Lineage: Eukaryota; Metazoa; Chordata; Mammalia; Primates; Cheirogaleidae. The record is from Rfam by way of RNAcentral.
UGGUGUUACAGCUCUUUUAGAAUGUGUCUGGUAGGUUUUCUGGUUCUCACCCAAAGACACCCCC